GGUACAAUGAGCCAACCAAAUUUACAAUGUGGUUUCUUUUUUGAAUAGUUUGGAUUUGACCCAACCUCUACGUAGGAAGAAGGCUGAAGAGACCGAGGCUCGAGUCGACGAAGAAGAAAACUAUGCUCGAGAUGGUUGUAAGAUUAAAAAAAACUGACAAGAUCAACAUAGGGACAAGGUCAUUUUGCCCCUACUCCUACAUGAGGAGUUUGGAUAGUUGAGUCAUAACAAGAAAGCAAAAGAAACGAGAGGAAAAGAAGAAGGGA
Cucurbita maxima (winter squash) is the source of this 266-nucleotide long non-coding RNA. RefSeq lists it as uncharacterized. NCBI's taxonomy places the organism in Eukaryota, Viridiplantae, Streptophyta, Magnoliopsida, Cucurbitales, Cucurbitaceae. The record is from RefSeq and is a predicted model, not a curated record. The transcript has 2 exons.